Long non-coding RNA from Hyaena hyaena (striped hyena), 379 nucleotides. RefSeq lists it as uncharacterized. The record is from RefSeq and is a predicted model, not a curated record. Lineage: Eukaryota; Metazoa; Chordata; Mammalia; Carnivora; Hyaenidae. The transcript has 3 exons.
AGCCAGCUGCCAUGUCAUGAGAACACUCAAGCAGCACUUUAGAGAGGCCCAUGUGGCAAGGGAUGGUGGCCUGCUGCCAGCAACUAGUGCUAACUUGCCAGACAUGUUAGUGAGUCACCUUAGGUCCCCCUCCUCUGUCAACACUCCAAACACCUGCAGACUUGGCAUCGUGACUGCAGCCUCAUGAGAGACCCUCGGCCAGAAACACCCAGCUAAGCUGCUCCCAGAUUACUGAACCCUGAAACCAUAUGGACAGAUGUGUUAUUUCCAGGGAGAGGCCUUAAGGACAAGGUAUCUUAAAACCAAAUUUCUUACAUCUUAUAACCUGUUCAACUCCAAUGCCAGAAAGUGCCUGCACCUUCUCCCACCUUCGAAUGGA